AACGUAGGUGGCGAGCGUUAUCCGGAUUUACUGGGCGUAAAGGGCUCGUAGGCGGCCAACUAAGUCAGACGUGAAAUCCCUCGGCUUAACCGGGGAACUGCGUCUGAUACUGGAUGGCUUGAGUUUGGGAGAGGGAUGCGGAAUUCCAGGUGUAGCGGUGAAAUGCGUAGAUAUCUGGAGGAACACCGGUGGCGAAGGCGGCAUCCUGGACCAACACUGACGCUGAGUGAGCGAAAGCCAGGGGAGCGAACGGG
This 254-nucleotide ribosomal RNA is filed under the name uncultured bacterium. RNAcentral's name for it is "partial 16S ribosomal RNA". It matches the Rfam family "Bacterial small subunit ribosomal RNA", at positions 524 to 776 of the family's 1533-position model. The record is from RNAcentral.